Sorex fumeus (smoky shrew) is the source of this 214-nucleotide small nucleolar RNA. RefSeq annotates it as small nucleolar RNA U3. The transcript has a single exon. The record is from RefSeq and is a predicted model, not a curated record. Lineage: Eukaryota; Metazoa; Chordata; Mammalia; Eulipotyphla; Soricidae.
GAGACUAUUCUUUCAGGGAUUGUUUCUAUAGUUCUUUACUAGAGAAGUUUCUCUGAUCUUGUAGAGCACUGGAAACCGGGAGGAGGAGUCAGAGCAUCUUCUUCCUGAGUAUGAAGCUGGGUCUGAGUGUUGCUUUUGCAACUGCCUUUUGCAUUGAGGAUUGUUCUUCUCUUUCUUUGGAAGAGUGAGAGGGAGAGAACAUAGUCUGAGUGUU